CCUACGGGAGGCAGUAGUGAGGAAUAUUGGUCAAUGGACGAGAGUCUGAACCAGCCAAGUAGCGUGAAGGAUGACUGCCCUAUGGGUUGUAAACUUCUUUUAUAAAGGAAUAAAACGAGGCACGUGUGCCUUUUUGCAUGUACUUUAUGAAUAAGGAUCGGCUAACUCCGUGCCAGCAGCCGCGGUAAUACGGAGGAUCCGAGCGUUAUCCGGAUUUAUUGGGUUUAAGGGGAGCGUAGAUGGGUUGUUAAGUCAGUUGUGAAAGUUUGCGGCUCAACCGUAAAAUUGCAAUUGAUACUGGCAGUCUUGAGUACAGUUGAGGUAGGCGGAAUUCGUGGUGUAGCGGUGAAAUGCUUAGAUAUCACGAAGAACCCCGAUUGCGAAGGCAGCUUACUAAACUGUGACUGACAUUGAUGCUCGAAAGUGUGGGGAUCAAACAGGAUUAGAUACCCGGGUAGUC
This 460-nucleotide ribosomal RNA is filed under the name uncultured bacterium. RNAcentral's name for it is "partial 16S ribosomal RNA". It matches the Rfam family "Bacterial small subunit ribosomal RNA", at positions 338 to 795 of the family's 1533-position model. The record is from RNAcentral.